ACGCUCGACACCUACGGAGGCAGCAGUUGGGAAUAUUGGACAAUGGAGGAAACUCUGAUCCAGUGACGCCGCGUGAAGGAAGAAGGUCUUCGGAUUGUAAACUUAUUUUGUCAGGGAAGAAAAAAUGACUGUACCUGAAGAAAAAGCACCGGCUAACUACGUGCUAGCAGCCGCGGUAAUCUGAGCGGGCUGGCAAGGC
RNAcentral lists this ribosomal RNA (199 nucleotides) under uncultured bacterium. RNAcentral describes it as "partial 16S ribosomal RNA". It matches the Rfam family "Bacterial small subunit ribosomal RNA", at positions 328 to 539 of the family's 1533-position model. The record is from RNAcentral.